UUACGGCCAUAUCACGUUGAAACACCGGUCCUCAUAAGAUCACCGAAGUUAAGCAAAGUCAAGUCUGGUCAGUAUCUAGAUAGGGGACCGCUUGGAAAUACCAGGUGU
Molecule: non-coding RNA, 108 nt
Organism: Acanthosepion pharaonis
Lineage: Eukaryota; Metazoa; Mollusca; Cephalopoda; Sepiida; Sepiidae
Source: the annotation of a GenBank genome assembly